This 1434-nucleotide ribosomal RNA is filed under the name uncultured methanogenic archaeon. Its description in RNAcentral is "16S ribosomal RNA". It matches the Rfam family "Bacterial small subunit ribosomal RNA". Lineage: Archaea; Methanobacteriati; Methanobacteriota. The record is from RNAcentral.
UGCAAGUCGUACGCGUUGGCCCAACUGAUUUGAAGUGCUUGCACGGAUCUGACGUUGGUUUACCAACGAGUGGCGGACGGGUGAGUAACACGUAGGUAACCUGCCCAGAAGCGGGGGACAACACUUGGAAACAGGUGCUAAUACCGCAUAACAAUUCAAAUCGCAUGAUUUGAAUUUAAAAGAUGGUUUCGGCUAUCACUUCUGGAUGGACCUGCGGCGCAUUAGCUUGUUGGUGGGGUAACGGCCUACCAAGGCAGUGAUGCGUAGCCGAGUUGAGAGACUGAUCGGCCACAAUGGGACUGAGACACGGCCCAUACUCCUACGGGAGGCAGCAGUAGGGAAUCUUCCACAAUGGGCGCAAGCCUGAUGGAGCAACACCGCGUGAGUGAAGAAGGUUUUCGGAUCGUAAAGCUCUGUUGUUGAAGAAGAACGUGCAUGAGAGUAACUGUUCAUGCAGUGACGGUAUUCAACCAGAAAGUCACGGCUAACUACGUGCCAGCAGCCGCGGUAAUACGUAGGUGGCAAGCGUUAUCCGGAUUUAUUGGGCGUAAAGAGAGUGCAGGCGGUUUCUUAAGUCUGAUGUGAAAGCCUUCGGCUCAACCGAAGAAGUGCAUCGGAAACUGGGAAACUUGAGUACAGAAGAGGGCAGUGGAACUCCAUGUGUAGCGGUGGAAUGCGUAGAUAUAUGGAAGAACACCAGUGGCGAAGGCGGCUGCCUGGUCUGUAACUGACGCUGAGACUCGAAAGCAUGGGUAGCGAACAGGAUUAGAUACCCUGGUAGUCCAUGCCGUAAACGAUGAGUGCUAGGUGUUGGAGGGUUUCCGCCCUUCAGUGCCGGAGCUAACGCAUUAAGCACUCCGCCUGGGGAGUACGACCGCAAGGUUGAAACUCAAAGGAAUUGACGGGGGCCCGCACAAGCGGUGGAGCAUGUGGUUUAAUUCGAAGCUACGCGAAGAACCUUACCAGGUCUUGACAUCUUGCGCCAACCCUAGAGAUAGGGCGUUUCCUUCGGGAACGCAAUGACAGGUGGUGCAUGGUCGUCGUCAGCUCGUGUCGUGAGAUGUUGGGUUAAGUCCCGCAACGAGCGCAACCCUUGUUACUAGUUGCCAGCAUUAAGUUGGGCACUCUAGUGAGACUGCCGGUGACAAACCGGAGGAAGGUGGGGACGACGUCAGAUCAUCAUGCCCCUUAUGACCAGGGCUACACACGUGCUACAAUGGACGGUACAACGAGCAGCGAACUCGCGAGGGCAAGCAAAUCUCUUAAAACCGUUCUCAGUUCGGAUUGCAGGCUGCAACUCGCCUGCAUGAAGUCGGAAUCGCUAGUAAUCGCGGAUCAGCAUGUCGCGGUGAAUACGUUCCCGGGCCUGGUACACACCGCCCGUCACACCAUGAGAGUUUGUAACACCCAAAGUCGGUGGGGUAACCUUUGGAG